AGUGAUGUGGCUCAGUGGUGGAGCAUCUUCUUUGAAUGCAGAAGGUCUGAGUUCAGUUCCUGGUACUGCCA
Molecule: non-coding RNA, 71 nt
Organism: Podarcis lilfordi (Lilford's wall lizard)
Lineage: Eukaryota; Metazoa; Chordata; Lepidosauria; Squamata; Lacertidae
Source: the annotation of a GenBank genome assembly